Long non-coding RNA from Bactrocera oleae (olive fruit fly), 976 nucleotides. RefSeq lists it as uncharacterized. The record is from RefSeq and is a predicted model, not a curated record. Lineage: Eukaryota; Metazoa; Arthropoda; Insecta; Diptera; Tephritidae.
AGCGUACGUUCGUGUACACUUGGCUUCGCUUGGCGCUGACACAGCGGUGACGGCACGUUCAGAUUCAUUCUGCGAUUCCUCGAGGACGUAACGAAAAACGUCGGUGUGCGCGUCAUACUAUUCCGCCGAACAGAACAGACAAGGCAUAACAGACAACUAAUAACCAACCAAGUGUAGAAUCAAAAAAAGUCAGCAAGUAAGCAUUGAUUGCAAGCAACAAAUCAAGCUCGACGCAGCACGACCUUUUAAAUAAUAGCGUAUACAAUAACAACAACUAACAACAGAGAUUUACUUUGGAUUUUGGGCAGAUUAAGAAUACGAGCAGCAGAAAACUACAGAAUAUUUUUCAGACCAAAAGCAAAAAAAGUAAACAUUUACAGUGUAAAUAAAUGACGAAAAUUAGUGGAAAGAAAAAAACAAAAUUAAACAGCAAAACAUAAAUGUAUAUAAAUAAACAAAUUUAUAUAAAAAAAAUUUAUACACAAAAACAUCAAUAAUAAAAAUUUCAAGCGCACGUGCAACUAAGAAAAUUCCAUUUCCCAAAUGCGUUAAAUUCAAAAACAAAUAAAAUUAAAUUUUUAUCAAAACACGCAAUCAACACAAUGCUACUAAACAGUUGUAGGAACUAAAUAAAUUCGCUGAUUGCACACGAAAUUACCUGGAAAUCACGUGUGAGAUCUAAUUUUUGCGGCAAAAUAAAAUACGAAAAAAGCAAGCCAGCAAACAAACAAAAUGAUUUAAACUAUAAAACAAUAACUAAAUCUAUAAAUUGUGCAAAACUAUAAAUAGCUUGCAUUUAGCUGACUAAAGUGGCCUAAAGUUGGUCAAGGAUAUCGUCAUAGCGCAGCGCGUGCACAAGAGCGGCAAUAAAAGGCAGCUAUUCCGAUUUUACUGCUAAUAAAAAAGUAAGUUUUUACGAGGUUUCAAGUAUGACGUAAAAUUACUCUCUUAAUAUUUGCAGGCGUUUGGUAAGUUG